This 951-nucleotide ribosomal RNA is filed under the name Staphylococcus pasteuri. RNAcentral describes it as "bacterial SSU rRNA". It matches the Rfam family "Bacterial small subunit ribosomal RNA", at positions 57 to 992 of the family's 1533-position model. The record is from RNAcentral. Lineage: Bacteria; Bacillati; Bacillota; Bacilli; Caryophanales; Staphylococcaceae.
GCAGUCGAGCGAACGAUAAGGAGCUUGCUCCUUUGACGUUAGCGGCGGACGGGUGAGUAACACGUGGAUAACCUACCUAUAAGACUGGGAUAACUUCGGGAAACCGGAGCUAAUACCGAGAUAACAUAUUGAACCGCAUGGUUCAAUAGUGAAAGGCGGCUUUGCUGUCACUUAUAGAUGGAUCCGCGCCGUAUUAGCUAGUUGGUAAGGUAACGGCUUACCAAGGCAACGAUACGUAGCCGACCUGAGAGGGUGAUCGGCCACACUGGAACUGAGACAUGGUCCAACUCUAAUACGGGAGGCAGCAGUAGGGAAUCUUCCGCAAUGGGCGAAAGCCUGACGGAGCAACGCCGCGUGAGUGAUGAAGGUCUUCGGAUCGUAAAACUCUGUUAUCAGGGAAGAACAAAUGUGUAAGUAACUGUGCACAUCUUGACGGUACCUGAUCAGAAAGCCACGGCUAACUACGUGCCAGCAGCCGCGGUAAUACGUAGGUGGCAAGCGUUAUCCGGAAUUAUUGGGCGUAAAGCGCGCGUAGGCGGUUUUUUAAGUCUGAUGUGAAAGCCCACGGCUCAACCGUGGAGGGUCAUUGGAAACUGGAAAACUUGAGUGCAGAAGAGGAAAGUGGAAUUCCAUGUGUAGCGGUGAAAUGCGCAGAGAUAUGGAGGAACACCAGUGGCGAAGGCGACUUUCUGGUCUGUAACUGACGCUGAUGUGCGAAAGCGUGGGGAUCAAACAGGAUUAGAUACCCUGGUAGUCCACGCCGUAAACGAUGAGUGCUAAGUGUUAGGGGGUUUCCGCCCCUUAGUGCUGCAGCUAACGCAUUAAGCACUCCGCCUGGGGAGUACGACCGCAAGGUUGAAACUCAAAGGAAUUGACGGGGACCCGCACAAGCGGUGGAGCAUGUGGUUAAUUCGAAGCAACGCGAAGACCUUACCAAUCUUGACAUCCUUU